This 73-nucleotide transfer RNA is filed under the name Bos taurus (domestic cattle). It matches the Rfam family "tRNA". From Rfam's summary of the family: Transfer RNA (tRNA) molecules are approximately 80 nucleotides in length. The record is from Rfam by way of RNAcentral. Lineage: Eukaryota; Metazoa; Chordata; Mammalia; Artiodactyla; Bovidae. RNAcentral also lists the same sequence under 4 other names.
UCCCUGGUAGUCCAGUGGCUAAGACUCCAGCUCCAAAUGCAGGGAGGCAUGGGUUUGAUUCCUAGUCAGGGAA